AAAGCCGGUCCUGCCCAUAAGAUGGAGCCCCAAGAUGUAGCGUCCCUGUACUUGGGUUCCAGCUGCUAUCACAAAAAAGUUGUCUUGAGGCUGUGAGAGAACGCAGGACAUAAAGAUUUUCUACAACUGUCAAAUCCCCACCAAAAUGUUACGUUAAAGGCCUUUACUUACCAGAAGUACCAAGCCAAGCGACAAGCGGUAGGGAACAGAAGUCAGAUGUCAAAGUGGGAGAUGCGGGAGACCCUGGUUUGCAGCAUGCAGGACAACGCGUUUCGAAAGGUAUAUCCCUUUCUUUAUCAGGUUCUUCCCAGGACCUCCUGAAUUCUUCUUCUCAUCUGUUACUACACAACGUGUCCAACCUUGAAGCAGAUGGGCUACAGCAGCAGAAGACCACACCGGGGGCCUCUCCUGUCAGCUAAAAACAGCAAAAUGAGGCCACAAUUCACACAGGAACCAAAACUGGAGAAUGGGAGAUGGAAGAACGUUGUCUG
Molecule: long non-coding RNA, 491 nt
Organism: Hyla sarda
Lineage: Eukaryota; Metazoa; Chordata; Amphibia; Anura; Hylidae
Exons: 3
Source: RefSeq, a predicted model, not a curated record